This 253-nucleotide ribosomal RNA is filed under the name uncultured bacterium. RNAcentral describes it as "partial 16S ribosomal RNA". It matches the Rfam family "Bacterial small subunit ribosomal RNA", at positions 524 to 776 of the family's 1533-position model. The record is from RNAcentral.
UACAGAGGGUGCGAGCGUUAAUCGGAAUUACUGGGCGUAAAGCGUGAGUAGACGGUUAUGUAAGUCGGGUGUGAAAGCCCCGGGCUCAACCUGGGAAUUGCAUUCGAGACUGCAUAGCUAGGGUGCGGAAGAGGGAAGCGGAAUUUCCGGUGUAGCGGUGAAAUGCGUAGAUAUCGGAAGGAACACCAGUGGCGAAAGCGGCUUCCUGGUCCAGCACCGACGUUCAGGCACGAAAGCGUGGGGAGCAAACAGG